UAGAAGGGUUCACUUUACACCUGUUUUGCUUCUCACAGAUUAAUGUUGAAGCAAGUUCUCGCUCCAGUGUUGUGGUCAUCUCGCUGAACCAGGCAGUCAACAUGGUCCAGAGCAUGGUUCCUUCAGUGGAAGAAGAAGACAGAGGCACGUUGUCUAAACGGAGCAUCGUCCAAAGCUGCGGAAAUGUGCCGAUGGUUCGUCUUCAUGGGUACCACGGGAGUCUGAGCCAGGCGCUGGGCUGGAAUGUCACAAUCAUUCAGGUGUGGAGUGUGAACACCUUCAGCAGCACAGUCAGAUCUCCCAGGAGCAGCGAAGAAACCUACGCGAGCCUCAUCACCUCGGAUCCGAGCAGCAAUGCAGUCAUCGCCAAGCAUCGAGUGCAAAGGAACGCAGAGAAAAGUCAAGAAAAUGAUGCAGAAACGCAGCAUGAAAACAAGAAGCGAAACAGGACAUCACUGGAAUCGCCACCCUUCUUGAGUACGGAAGACAAUUACACCUCUGCUGUGAAAAGGACAUUGCUGGAAUCACCACCCUUCUUGAGCAGCAGUAACGGGUCACAAUCGUAACAAUGUUAGUUCCUGUACUGUCUAUUCCACCUUGUUUAAAACAGUAUUUCAACUUCUCAGCCUUCUGACCAAGGAUAAAGUUCUGGACAGAGUGCAGAGAUUAGAUUGCCAGAGUGCCAUCGACUGCGUGACUGAGUGUGAUUUGGUCGCUGCUGUUAUGGGGGAACCUCUGCCUCCCAGCACACUUUUUUUUUUUUUUGGUCUGGGUAGCACAUGGAGCCCAAGUGCAGCUUUGUCUAGUGAUUUUUCCUAAUUGCUCAGUGUAAGGUCCCUCAAGACAACAGGUUCAAGGAUCCCGACUGAAGAACACCAUCCACUUUCACUGGUGGAACGGGGAUGAUGGUGGUGGGUUUCCUGAGCAGGUUCCCUAACCCUUCGUCCUUGGACUCAUGAGACUUCCAGGUAAGGAAACGGUCUGCAUCACUAUUGACUGAGGAGCUGUAGCAGAGGGUUCGGGAGCCACUCUCCUACUUUACUGAUCCAAAGUGGAGGGAUGACUAACUGUCACUGAGCACAUCUUCAACCCCUUGUCUCCAGCUAUUGAGAGCCUUCUUAGGGAAGUUUGUGUUUAAAGGACGUGAGGACCGGACGGAUGCGGUCGCCAUCUGGAAUGGGCUUGGCUGUUUUCAUGUGCGUCUUCAUGGAUUUUGCACCACACCGGGACUUGGGCGAGGCUGGAGGCUACCAGUUUGAGGGACAGUCUCCCUCCCACCACCUGAGUUUUAGCUGAGGACAUACUGGCAAGGACUAAGGGCAUGAAGUGCCAAAGGUGGCAGGGAAAUAUUUUAAUCUAUUACAUAGUGAUGGUUUGUUUUGGAUGUGCAUUUGGUGUUAACAUCUGGCUAUGCUUUCUAUAAUUUUGAGUCCCUCGUGGAUAAUGUCUCAUGUUAACCAAAAUGUGACUUUUUGUGUAGAACUUUGCAUUUUUUUGAUACUUAAUACUUUUUCCAACUUCAUUAA
RNAcentral lists this long non-coding RNA (1526 nucleotides) under Scleropages formosus (Asian bonytongue). RNAcentral describes it as "lncRNA (ENSSFOG00015031916.1)". The record is from RNAcentral. Lineage: Eukaryota; Metazoa; Chordata; Actinopteri; Osteoglossiformes; Osteoglossidae.